Molecule: long non-coding RNA, 2067 nt
Organism: Sapajus apella (tufted capuchin)
Lineage: Eukaryota; Metazoa; Chordata; Mammalia; Primates; Cebidae
Exons: 2
Source: RefSeq, a predicted model, not a curated record
GUGACAUGUGCCUGUUGUCCCAACUACUUGAGAGGCUUAGGCAGGAAGAUCACUAGAGCCCAGGAGUUUAAAACUGCUGUGAGUUGUGAUCACCACUGCAUCUCUAGCCUGGGUGACACAUUGAAGGGGGACACAGUGGAUAGAGCAGAGUUUGUUUCUCCCCUAAUGUAUAAUAAAUUUAUAUAUUAAUCUCAAAGUGUCAAAUGGAUGAAAGUGGAACAUGCUCCAGUUGAAAAAACAAACAAAAAACAUAAGGCUCAAAACUGAAAGUAUUAAUAUAUACAAUUUUUUAUUUCUGGCUUACAGAUUGGUCAAGCUGUUUCUCAUAAAUCUACUUAGCUAACCAAGGGCAUGAUUUUUCAUGAUUCUUUUUUCUCUAUCUCCCUCUAUUAUUUGGUGUUUCUGAGUUAAUAAGUAUUGAUAGCUUUGGAUCCUAUUUAAUCUGUGCUUUUUUAUUAGUAAUAAUUUCAGCUAUUUAUAAAUAGUAGAAUUAAGAGAAAUUAGGAAAUGAUAUAUAUAAGAAAAUAUGAAGAAGGGAAGUAUAUUCUCAAAUAAAAAUACUUAGGAAUAUAGUUAGGUUUAAGAAGCAUUGUCCCAUUUGUGAAUCUCAAGUUAACUUUUAUCACUAGCAAAAUUGAACCAUAAUACAGAUUUACAUGUUUCUUUUGUUUGUAAACAAAUGUAUAUAAUCUGUAUGUUGAAAUUAUAGAGCAAAAUUAUUUCUGAAGCUUUUUGGAAAGUGAUACCAAAUAAAUUAAUUUUACUUUGAACAAACCUAAAUUUCAGAUUCCAGUAAUAAUUUAUUCAUGGAUUUUUUUCUUAUGGGACUGAUAAGAUCAUCAAUUACAGUCCUGUUUAUGACCAUUAAUAACAUAAUUAGUCUAUGAAAAGCCUUUUUACCAAUAAUUUUGGGAAUUUUUUUGUCUUUGUUUUGGGCUUAUUUUUAAGGCUUUUCCUUGAAUUUGAGUUUCCCCUGACUUUGAGGGUUUGUUGCCUAUGGGUUCAUUGAUUUGGUAGAUAGUUAUAAUAUUUAAAACUCAUGAUUAUGUUUAAUUUUCCCAAGCACUUUCAGAAAUGCAUUUCACAAAAGUGGAGUGUUUCUUUAACUAUUUUAAUUAGAUAUUAAAAAUAUCUAAUUUUAAAAAUAUCUAUAUUAGAUACAAAAAAAUAACAAAGCAAGAGUGCAUCAGAGAAGUUGAGAAACUUUAUCAUGGAAAAAUGUGAUCUAGAGAAGCUAGUGUAAUAAAACAAAUCCAUACUCUUUAAAUUUAAAGCCUAGUAUAAAAAUAGCGUUACUAACAAUGCUAAUUAAUUAGAUGGUUUUUAAGUAAUUGUGUUAAAUCUCAGUAGACAAGUUAUUUCACGUGGAAAAUAUUAUUAAUGUUUGAGCUUAAAUUAUAUUUCUAUCUUUGUUUUGAUUGGUAAUACUUCAAGUUAGUGUUCAGUUAAUGUAGUUUUUGCCCUGUUUCUUAUGAAUUGAUAAUAAGAUUGCCCUAAAAUAUUAGAGAUGUGAACUAAAGGGAUAGCGACUUGAAUUUGACCUAAUGAGAGGUAGGUGAAUCAGAAUGCCAGGUCUACCACUUAUAAGCUAUAAGAUAUUGAGUAAAUCACUUUCAACCUCGUUGAGCUUCACUUUUUAUGAUACUGGUUGAGCAUCUGUUAUGAGCCAUGAACCUGUUUGGUGCUGUGAUAUAACUUUGACAGUUAGGUCAAAGAGACUGGCAGUUAAACAGAAGAUGACAUAGAGAAUGGUAAUACCUGAGGUAUACAUAUGGGGAUGUGGGAGCAAAGAAGUGAGUCAGUUGAUGGGAAGAGGAUGUUGUGGGAAACUUUACUAGAAACUCUACUAGAGAGGGCAGUACUUCUUCGGGGUACUACCCAGUCUUAGUUGUCUUAGUUUUCUUAUCUUUGAGAGAUAAUUUACCCAUACUGAGGCCAGGUGCUGGUGGCUGAUGCCUGUAAUCCCAGCACUUUGGGAGGCCAAGGUGGGUGGAUCACCUGAGGUGAAGAGCUUGAGACCAGCCUGACCAACAUGGUGAAACACCAUCUCUGCAAAAUACAAAAAAU